GCCUAGGACUUACUUAGCUCAGGAACUAACCAUAUGUGAUUUGAGGAACCAUACUGAGAAGGCUUGUUUAAUACUAAUUUCACCAGACACAAGAUACUGGACAUUCUGGAACAUCCAGAGUCUUACAUGGAGGAGGAAUAUUGGGAUAGACGGUACAAGAAGCUGAGAAGUUAGCCAAGAUGCAGGCUGGGUCUUCUAGGGAAGCUGGCUGAUCUCAUGCUGAACUGAAUGCAGACCCUUUCCAGGGGGUUAGUACUUAGGGAUCUGGAAGGAAGAAGAAUCAACUUUCUUGCAAGGGGACUCCAGUCAGCAGCAGGUGCAGUGGAGAAGAGAACUCUACCUUUUGAGAGAGAAUAUGGGAUUAUAAAGUGCCUGGAGCUUGAAAGAAACACAGACUUCAGCCUGAUUGUAUUUUUGUGGCUGGGCAGUCUCAGUCAUUGCCAUGGUUUCAAGUUGUUGAGGAGUUAUGGAUACAGCAAAGAUGGACUUGAAUUCCGGCCAAGGAGAUGUUAUUCAGAG
This 519-nucleotide long non-coding RNA is filed under the name Vulpes vulpes (red fox). Its description in RNAcentral is "lncRNA (ENSVVUG00000001250.1)". Lineage: Eukaryota; Metazoa; Chordata; Mammalia; Carnivora; Canidae. The record is from RNAcentral.